Octopus sinensis (East Asian common octopus) is the source of this 134-nucleotide long non-coding RNA. RefSeq lists it as uncharacterized. The transcript has 3 exons. NCBI's taxonomy places the organism in Eukaryota, Metazoa, Mollusca, Cephalopoda, Octopoda, Octopodidae. The record is from RefSeq and is a predicted model, not a curated record.
CUAAUAUGCACAGCAUUGAUAAGCAAACAGAUGAGUGAAGGAACAGCUUUAGUCAUCAAUUUAUUUGUUCAAACGGUCAUCAAUUUUUUGAUGUUAUUUUUAUUAAUCCAUCUCACCCACUCACACAUAUAUUG